GGUCAGCGUGGUAGUGGCGGUAACAGUAAGGAGAAGCUGGUGGAGGAGAAGAAGGGACCUGGAAGUGUCUCGAGUGUUUCAGUGAAAGUGAAAGAGGAGAAACUAAAGAUAGAGAAGGAAGUGAAAACGGCGGCGAGUCAAGUUUUGGUGACUGGCCGAGUUCUGUGACUCAGUCUGGUUCCGGGAGCAGUCGGAGAUUGAGACAUUCUUUGGGCUUUUAUUUUGUAAUUUGCAUUUGUAUAUCAUCUGUAUCUUAUUCAAAUCACCUGGGGAGUAAAGUCAGACAACUAGAGGUUCUAGAGGCAUUCCUUGGUCCAGGUUCUGAACUCUGGAUGUUCAAUGAGCUCCCAGAAAAAGAAAGGGAAA
This is a long non-coding RNA of Hevea brasiliensis (rubber tree), 366 nucleotides long. RefSeq lists it as uncharacterized. The record is from RefSeq and is a predicted model, not a curated record. The transcript has 3 exons. NCBI's taxonomy places the organism in Eukaryota, Viridiplantae, Streptophyta, Magnoliopsida, Malpighiales, Euphorbiaceae.